UACGGCCGGAUCAAGUUGAAACACUGGUUCCCGUACAAUCACCGAUGUUAAGCAACGUUGAGUCUGAUCAGUACCGAGAUAAGUGACUGCUUGGGAAUAUCAGGUGCUGCAA
Non-coding RNA from Acanthosepion pharaonis, 112 nucleotides. NCBI's taxonomy places the organism in Eukaryota, Metazoa, Mollusca, Cephalopoda, Sepiida, Sepiidae. The record is from the annotation of a GenBank genome assembly.